This 4655-nucleotide long non-coding RNA is filed under the name Brassica napus (rape). RNAcentral's name for it is "long non-coding RNA (BNAP_LNC007099)". The record is from RNAcentral. Lineage: Eukaryota; Viridiplantae; Streptophyta; Magnoliopsida; Brassicales; Brassicaceae.
GUUAGUUAAAAUUUCAUUUUAGAAUAAAGAUAUUUUAGAGGACAAAAAAUUACAUGAAUUACCAUCACAAAUUGACAAUGUAACACAGUUGUCUUAGAGCAAACGGUAGAGUACUUGAAAAUGCAGGAAUGUUCUCUAACUUGCAAGAAGUCAAGUUACAUCGUAGGCUUAUCAUCAAACAACGUUCAUCUUUUCUUAUUAAGCCAAAAUCCAAACAAGUCAACCACUCCUACCUCUCGAUGAUGGAUUGUAAAUUCUUAACUCGUGACAAUCUGCUAUCUCAAGUGUGUGCAUAUUCAUGACCAAGGCCAAUUAGCAUCUCGCCACGCAAAGCGACAUCCUCCAAAACCACCACUACAGCCAUCAAAGCUAAUUGGUUCACCAGAGUUUGAUCCAUCUAAACCAACACAUCGAAGUUUUUGAUCACGUUUCGCUGAGUCCUCUCUGUAUGAUGGGUUUGAGUAUCUAGGGUGUUGGAUGAAAGGUACAUUCUUCCACCAGAGCUUAAGUGCCUAUAAAAUGAAUAGCAGUUAUGUAAUCUAGCCUACAAGUUGAUGAUCCAUAUGUACUUACAAAGAUAUUGAGUAUAUAUGAUGUAACUUACAUGCCAAUAGAUCCAUAUAGCAACCUUAUGAGGCAUCAACCAGAAGAAGACCGCGGGAUCUGAAACCCGUGUUUGGUCUAUUCUUUUCGCCUUCAAUGUCGCAGAGAAGUAGUUACCGUGAUGAGGAUGCUGUGAUUCAAUUGAUACAGAUAACUCAUCUCCAGGUUCAUUUGCUCUAAUCUUCCAAUUCCCAAGCAUAUCCUGAAAAUACAGUUAAAAACACUUAAUGAAUUCCACAAGUUGAACAAGAUCAAUCAAUAGAUGAUUGUAACAUCAUGAGAGUAGUAACAUACCAUGAAAGGACUGACUUGUAAUGAUUUAGCAACCAAGUCAGAUUCAGGGUCGAAAACAAAUGUCACUCGUUCCCCCCAUGGCGUAUUUGUAACCUACCAAAAAAAAACCUCUAAUCAUCAUCAACAGAAACACUUAAUGAAGAAACAGAGUAGAGAAAAAUAUGUACCUGUGCAAUGCAUUUACUUAAGCGUUUGCUUGAUCCUUCCAAGUUGUAGCAAUAAUACAAACUCAACGGGUUCUGCUCAUAUCCAACGCUUGGAGGUAUUGUCAAUAAGAAACUGCAACCAAAAAUAACAGAGAUCAUAUACAUAAUAACCUUGAUAGGGAAAACAGUAUCUUGAUCAUCACAUAGCCAUUAAACUUUCUGAAACUAAAAAGAUUCGAUCUACGCUGUUUCAGAUCAUAUACACAUCCUUUACACAAACAGAAUCUUAACUCACUUCUUGACUGUGUAUAUAAUUAUAUAUGUACAUACCUGAAGAUGGGUAACAUUCGAAGAAACACACAUUUUUCCAUUGUAGAAAAUUGUUAUCCUCUGAGAUUCUUCCUCUUUUGGUAGUGAGUUUCCAAGAGAUCUUUUCAUAGAAGCCUUUGGAUUUGGAAGCUGAUGAUGAUGUAAUCUUGUCAACCUGUUCCGAGGAUCCGACCCGUUUGAGGAUGACCUCUCUUCCAUCUCUCUACUCGCGAUCGAUAUUAUAGAUUUAGCCUGCAUUCAUUCAUAAAAAAACAUUAAUGGUUAAUAAGAUCCAUUAAUUGCUUAUAAAAUAUAAUCAUAUAAAUGAAUGUGUAUAUAUGUACAUACCUGAAGAUGGGUAACAUUCGAAGAAACACACAUUUUUCCAUUGUAGAAAAUUGUUAUCCUCUGAGAUUCUUCCUCUUUUGGUAGUGAGUUUCCAGAGCUUCUUGAUUCUACCACACUUCAAAUCAAUUAAAUGUAAACUUUAUUAGAUUCAUGUAUUUAGAUAAAUUUCAUAGAUUUGAUUCCAGAGAGAGAGAGACUUACGAGGUAUCUGAUUCAUCAUAAGAAGAUGUUGGAAAGAGACGAAGUUCCAAGUCGCAGUUUUUCUCCAUCUUCUGAGUUGUAAGGACAAUAACUGAUGAUGCUGAUGAUGGUGGUGGUGGUGAUAUUGUGUCUGGAUUGACGAAUAUAAGUUUAUUUAUAUGUUUGGUUUGUGAGGAGGGAGAGAGGGCGCGAGAGAGUUAGUGGAGAUAGAACACGGUAUCCUAAGACAGAGACAGACAGAUCACAGCUUCUUUUUAAUUAUCUCACAUGGAAAAUGUUUUUUCUAUUUUUUUAUUUGUGUAGUAUAGGUUUUGGAUUCUUUAUUAAUUGAACUAGAAUAAAAAGACAAAAGUCACGAAACUUUAUUUUUAUUCUAUUUUUUCCGUUGCAUUUUAAUACGUAUACUACUAAAUCUCUACUGGCGGUUUCGACGCAUUUUGUACAUUUCCGAAAAUAGUACUCUCAUAUUUCAUUCGUUUUGAUUGGAAUAAUUAUUUGUUAAAAUUUUCUGUAUCUUUGGUAUUUUUUAUUAUACUCCUAUAUUAGUUCACCGGUAUACUAAAGUGUUUGAUGCCUACCUGCUUUUUAGUUGUCAAAGUAUCGACUGCUGAAUAGUAUCGACUGCUGAAUAGUUUACCGAUUAAUAUUCACAGGCGGCGUAUCUUCUUAAGUCAAUUCUAUAAUCACUGCACACGCAAAUAUUAUCAAUCUUGGCGGUGUUUGACAAAACUUAUCUGUUGUAUUAAGUGUUACGAAAUUUUAUUAAAUGAUUAGAUUAAGGUAGAAUCAGGAUAACUAAUUAAUAUUUGAUCGAAGCACGUGUUUGCGUCUCCAAUAAGUUGCUCCUUUUGAUAUUUCUUACUUUUAUUAACUCUUCUACAAGAUUCAUAUGUAUCUAUUUUCUUUGCGGCUAUGAAACAAGUGGUAAGGAUUCAUGGAGAAAAAACGUGGUAGGGACAACAUUUUUGAUUAGUGAUUGAAUUUAGUUGUCAAGCCAUCCACUAUAAUGUUAUUUUAGUUAAGAUAAAAACAUAUUUGAAAUGAAAUCGGUUUAAGUAAUUCUCAUUUACAUUCCGCUUUUGGUUGUUAUAAUGUUUAAAUUGAGAUAUGUUGAUCAAUCUUGGUUUAUGCAAAACGCAUCCGUCUAAAAUAAUUCUUUUAAGACCUUUCGGUAAAUGUAGUGGAAACCAUGGGCUAAUCCAAGUCUUAAUUGAGUUCCCAUUGCCUACAUAAUUAGUUACUUUAAUCAUUGAGUCAAUGGCAUUUUUGUUUGUCAUAAAGAAAGAAAUUUAACAAAAAAUUUAUUUGUUAUUUUGUUUAUUUAAUUUAGAUAAGAAACUAACAUAGAAGUAAAACACGUGAGUCAUGAGAAAUACUAGUAACACACGACCUUAAGAUUGUUGGCUUCCCAUGCACCAUUCAAUUGAUUCAUUAUCUCAUAAACAUCGUUUUCGUUUCAGAAAUUAAUUUUGAUUAAGCCUUUACAAAAAAAAUUUGAUUACGUGCCUAGAUGUGGUCGACUUGAUGUGGUCGACUUAUUAACGAUUUAUCCCAUUAAAAUAAAAUAAAAAGUAGUUGACGAAUCCCUUUUUCGUUUGUUUCUAUGUCGACGACUCCUUAGAUGUGCCCGUAUACCGGCAAUAUAGAAAACAAAAGCACGUUGAAAAUAAAUACAAGUCGUUCGAUAUUUCAAAAACAAAUAAGUCAAUUUUGGGACCGAGUUUAACAUGUGGUGUUGUGUUGCACAAAUCAACGAACAAUGAAAUAAUCAAAAGCUAUCUAACAAUCUACCACUGAUAUGAAGCUUGCAGUUUUGACACCCAACGAAUGAACACACUGGUUAUUGUAUUUAAUAUUCAUUUGCUAUGAUUCUUUUUUUCUCGAUAAAAUAUUUAGAAGAAUAAAAAUGAUCUAAAAUUGUGAAAGGAUUAACAACUACUAAGGGUAAACAAGUAAAAGAUAAUAUCCCUCUAAACAUAUAAAAAUAAAUUUUACUAUAAACAUGAAAAUAUUAACCUGAAAUAUUUCACCAUAAACCUUCUUUUGUUCGGGCUGAUAUUGUUUUUAAAAAGAUAUUAAUCCGAACAAAACAAACAUGAGAAGUGAAAUACAUUUUUUGGUAAAAUGAAAAGUGAAAUACUUGUGAAAAAGUAUCAAAGCAAAAUAAUUGAUUAAAAGGCAGAUCCUGAGAAUUGGGAUCCUACAAAGCUACAUUUUCCAAUCAAUAUUCUGGAUUUGAGUUCAAAUACAAAAAAAAAAAUAUUGUAAUUAUUAAAGACUAGAGAGAAAAGUCGAUAAAUAAGAAAAUGAAUUGAUUAGACCAAAAAAGAAGAAGAAUUGAUUAGAGGCUCUGAGCCACAAAGUUGGAAAAGACUAGAAGCAUGUGUCGUCUUUUUUGGGUGAAAAGCAUCUGUUAUUUGUUCUAAUACAGUAUUUUCACAACUUCUGUUGUUAAUAAAUCCGAAGUUAAAAAAAAAGAAGUCCGAAGUUAGUUAAAAUUUCAUUUUAGAAUAAAGAUAUUUUAGAGGACAAAAAAUUACAUGAAUUACCAUCACAAAUUGACAAUGUAACACAGUUGUCUUAGAGCAAACGGUAGAGUACUUGAAAAUGCAGGAAUGUUCUCUAACUUGCAAGAAGUCAAGUUACAUCGUAGGCUUAUCAUCAAACAACGUUCAUCUUUUCUUAUUAAGCCAAAAUCCAAACAAGUCAACCACUCCUACCUCUCGAUGAUGGAUUGUAAAUUCUUAACUCGUG